Setaria italica (foxtail millet) is the source of this 2540-nucleotide long non-coding RNA. RefSeq lists it as uncharacterized. The transcript has 6 exons. The record is from RefSeq and is a predicted model, not a curated record. Lineage: Eukaryota; Viridiplantae; Streptophyta; Magnoliopsida; Poales; Poaceae.
UCGAACGUCCCUCCGCACCCAGGAACUCCCUCCGCCCUACGAUCCAUCUGUGCCUCUCGCCUCGCAUCCUUCCCCUCCGCCACCGCCCCUUAUGUCCCACCGACCGCGUUCGUGAUCCAUCACCACACCGUCGCGUCCUCCAUCGCACCGUCGGCGCAUCCUCCGCUCCAUCCCCUCCCGCAUCGACGUGUCCGACGCGUUCGCCUCCACCUCCGUCGCCGCGCUCGGGGGGCCUGGCGGGAUCCCCAGGGCACCGCCGCGGCGAUCCUCUCUGCCGGCACCUUCAUCUCCGCGUUUGUCAUUAGCACCGUCACGCUCAUCGUUGCGCCGUGUGCCGUGCCACCGGCGUCGUUCAUGCGGGAAAUGUUCUUCUACCUCCUCACAUCGUUCGAGCUCUUCUACAUCUACCUCAAUGCCAAGCCAGAGAAGGGGUGCCGAGGAUGAGGUCCACCCGCACAUCGCCGGCACUAGGGCAGUGUCCCCCACUGUCAUCGACCCGAGGAGGCUGGAUUCGCGGCAUCCGCGGCGGAGGAUAGAUCCACAGAGGUGCUGGCCGGAUGCGCCGCCAUGAGCUCCAUCCGCUGCACCCUCGUUCGCAUCGUUCCUGCUGCAGCUGUCGGCAUCAUCUCCAGAGCCUUAUGUGAUCCACGGACAUGCCGGCAAGCUCUACCCCUGGCCGUGAUUGCUCAAGUGCGCCAAGGGGAUUUGCACAGGAAUGCUUGGCAUAAGCUUGGUGCUAUGCCUACCCAAGAAGCUACUCCCUAACUGGGCUGAGAAAUAAGUUAGCAGGAGAGUGAGAGAUUGUUGCAACCACUGAGCACAAGGAGUGACCAUGACCUGCACCUUUUCUUUCCCCUUAUCAUGCUAAUGUAGUAUCAAGAUAAAUAUAGAUAUUUAGAGUACAAAUGGCAGAGGUCCUAGCUACUUUGACUAAAGCUGGGAGGCUGUGAGUUUGAUUGAUAGCUCCAAAUGCUUUUGGCUUUUCAGAAGCACGAGAGCACAAAGGCCUAAAUUCUGAGUUGUGGCAUGUGCCCACCCUCAUGUGUUGGUUUCCUGUGGUAGUGGUGUAUUUUCCUCAUCACAUGGCAUUUCCAUUUGCUCUGGAUUGGAACGGACCAGCAGAAUGUUUUAAGGUGCAUGCUUUGUGAAGAGGAGGACUGGGAAGGCUUGAAGGUUGUAAUUUUGCUAUGAUGAUAGGUGCCCAGGACUUUUUUGGAAAUAGCAGAUUUUGGGGAAAAAACAUUGAGUGUUGUUCCUUCUGGAAAUCAAGUGCAUACAGACCAAGGAACUGUUCUUCAUUGCUGCCAUUCAGCGUGUGCUGAAGACUUUCUUGUGUAAGCAGUGUUCUGGACUUUGUGUCUUUGUUGGCACUCUACGAAAUAUUUUCUUGGUUAUACAUAAAUAGUUAAUUUGCUGCAUAUUAAUAUUUUUUUAUUUUUGUUGAGUAAUAUUCUCACAUUUCAGAUUGUGUGUUAUUUUGCAGCUAAUUGUAGGUUGCAGGUUGUUUUACUAAUUUCAAUAAUUUACAACCUGUUGCCUUGGAGCAACUCUGAAUCUGAAGUAAACAAACUAAACCUAUGUUGCUAGGUUUCUUUUUUUCUAUAAGAAUGUGUAUUGUAAAUUUUUAAGAAACCAAUAUUUACCAAAGUAUUUUGUCUUCUGCCGAAAGCUUUGUGAAGCUGCACAAUUUUCAUUCGAAAACAAACAAGGUUUAUAUAUAAUUUUUUUGGUUUUCUCAUGGGAUGAUGACUUUAACACUACAAAAGGCAUGAUUUCUGUACUUGCCAAUUCUCUGCUACUGAUCAUUCUCCUCUGUCUUAUUUCAUUCUUCUCUACUGGCCAGGUUGAGGACUCUGAGAUUACCAGCCGAGCUGUAUAGCUCGUUGCUUGCUUGUGGUCUGCAAAAUUGCAUGUCAUGCCAUUCUCUGCUUCUUCUCUGUUAUUCUGAUUCUCUGAAAUGAUUGAGCUGUAUAGCUCGUUGCUUGCUUGUGGUCUGCAAAAUGGCAUGUCAUGCCAUUCUCUGCUUCUUCUCUGCUGUUCUGAUUCUCUGAAAUGACUGAACGUGCACUAUUAUGGUCAGUGUAUGUAGAGGUUCGUGCUAAGAGGGCUCAAUGUGCUAGGAGGAGGAGGACCCCAACGUCGAUGUUCCCAACUGGUUGCUACCUCCAGAAGGAAACAGUGGGCGAUGAAAGCAAGGGAUUUGUGAAGUUUGUGAAGUACAUACGGCAGAGAAACGACAGAGAAAGGAUCAAGAGAAGCAGGAAGUGGAAGUUCACUUGGGCUGGGCUUCAGUAACCAAUCAUGAUAAGCAUGGAAAACUGACAUAGUGCAUACUUCUUACUUCUUAGAGAAAACUGACAUUAGAGAACUGAAUCGUAUUGGCUAAAAAAGGGGGGAUUAUGCUACUCAUGGUGCUAACCGUAAGAAUCAAAAGAAACAAUGCAGUGCUUCUGUUGCCAAUAGCAUUGCAAGUUUUGUAAAUUGCAGGUAUUAAAUAAACCUGAUGAAAAAAAUUCACGGUGUAGUAGCUUUAUUUAGUA